This 253-nucleotide ribosomal RNA is filed under the name uncultured bacterium. Its description in RNAcentral is "partial 16S ribosomal RNA". It matches the Rfam family "Bacterial small subunit ribosomal RNA", at positions 524 to 776 of the family's 1533-position model. The record is from RNAcentral. RNAcentral also lists the same sequence under 1 other name.
GACGAACCGUGCGAACGUUGUUCGGAAUCACUGGGCUUAAAGGGUGCGUAGGCGGGGUGGCAAGUCUGUGGUGAAAUCCUCCGGCUCAACCGGAGAACUGCCGUGGAUACUGCCACUCUCGAGGGGUGUAGGGGCAUGUGGAACUCAGGGUGGAGCGGUGAAAUGCGUAGAUAUCCUGAGGAACGCCGGUGGCGAAAGCGACGUGCUGGACACCUACUGACGCUGAGGCACGAAAGCCAGGGGAGCGAACGGG